AAUUCCAUCAUUUUAAUACCUUAUAUCUUUAUAAAUUUUAAAAGUUGAAAUUAAACUUUUAUCAUUUUUAAGGAUUCAAUAUAUAAGUUUAGCAUUAUUAAUUUAAAAUUUAUAAAUUAUAAAGGAGGUUUACAAUUUUAGGGGCAUAGUUCCCGAGCAUAUAAACCAUGAUUUAAGCUUAAUAUGUAUAAUUAUAGCCAAUCAAAAUUUAUAGAUAUUUAUACGAAGAAAAUGAAGGGAGGGGGGAGGAGGGUAAAAAAAGGGCAAAUAAAUAACAAAAAUUCCUAAACAGAAAAAAGAAAUAGCAACAGAAUCCACAGAUAUCAUAAUAUAAAGAAGCCAAAAACACAAAAAGGCGUGGUCAGGCAGCCUGCCUUACACUCUCUAAAAUGCAGAUUAUGGAAAUCAACUGUUGAGUCAUUCAGUCAUAUCGUCCUUGAGUUGUGGGUUUGAAUUGAGGAAGAAGAAGAUGGGGAUAGGGAGAAUGGUGGUGAGCUUGAAAUCAAAACUAAGGAGCUUGAAGAUGACGAAGAAGAAACCAACAACAACAGGUGAGCAUUAUUGUUAUUAUGAUAAGAUGGAAAAGACGGAGAGCAUGAGGGUUGAGAUUAGGAGCAGGAAAGCUCGUAAGCUUAUCCAAGAUACUCUCAAGAUUGCUGAUUCACCCCAUACCAGGACUUUCCAUUUCUGAUUUUUAUUUUUCCUUCAUUUUCUUGCUUUCCUUGCUCUCUGUCUAAUUUCAGUGUUUAAUUUCCAUGAAUCGUUAUAAACUUGAAAUUUCAUGUUUAUCUGUAAAAUUAUAAAGUAUGCGUCUACGUAACUCUUUUCAUUUUAUCUUUA
Gossypium raimondii (Peruvian cotton) is the source of this 840-nucleotide long non-coding RNA. RefSeq lists it as uncharacterized. The record is from RefSeq and is a predicted model, not a curated record. The transcript is spliced from 2 exons. Lineage: Eukaryota; Viridiplantae; Streptophyta; Magnoliopsida; Malvales; Malvaceae.